GAUGAAGAACGCAGUGAAAUGCGAUAAGUAAUGUGAAUUGCAGAAUUCAGUGAAUCAUCGAAUCUUUGAACGCACAUUGCGCCCGCCAGUAUUCUGGCGGGCAUGCCUGUCCGAGCGUCAUUUCAACCCUCGAACCCCUCCGGGGGGUCGGCGUUGGGGAUCGGCACUUACCUGCCGGCCCCGAAAUACAGUGGCGGUCUCGCUGCAGCCUCUCCUGCGCAGUAGUUUGCACACUCGCACCGGGAGCGCGGCGCGUCCACGGCCGUAAAACAACCCAAACUUCUGAAAUGUUGACCUCGGAUCAGGUAGGAAUACCCGCUGAACUUAAGCAUAUCAAUAAGCGGAGGA
Molecule: unclassified non-coding RNA, 348 nt
Filed under: soil metagenome
Description: partial contains 5.8S ribosomal RNA, internal transcribed spacer 2, and large subunit ribosomal RNA
Rfam family: 5.8S ribosomal RNA (bases 1-120)
Source: RNAcentral